UCAACUGUCUCCUUCCUCCAAUCAAUGAAAUUGAUCUUCUCGUGAAGAAGCGAGAAUAUUAUUAUUAGACGAGAAGACCCCAUGGAGCUUUAAACUUAUUACCAAUUACUUAACCGCUAAACCAUAAUAUGUAGUAAAAAUGUUCUUAAUAGUUUUCGGCUGGGGUGGCCCUGGAGUAAAAUAAACCCUCCAGAAUGAACGGAAUAAGACCCUAAUCUAAGAAUUACAGCUCAAAGAAUCAAAAAACUGACAUUAUUGAUCCAAUUAAUUGAUUAACGAAACAAGUUACCCUGGGGAUAACAGCGCAAUCCAUUUUGAGAGCCCCUAUCAACAAAUGGGUUUACGACCUCGAUGUUGGAUCGGGGUAUCCCGGUGGCGCAGCCGCUACUAAUGGUUCGUUUGUUCAACGAUUAACAACCCCACGUGAUCUGAGUUCAAACC
Molecule: ribosomal RNA, 441 nt
Filed under: Afrixalus fornasini (leaf-folding frog)
Lineage: Eukaryota; Metazoa; Chordata; Amphibia; Anura; Hyperoliidae
Description: partial large subunit ribosomal RNA
Rfam family: Bacterial large subunit ribosomal RNA
Source: RNAcentral